RNAcentral lists this transfer RNA (69 nucleotides) under Marilia sp. XG-2021. RNAcentral's name for it is "tRNA-Cys". Lineage: Eukaryota; Metazoa; Arthropoda; Insecta; Trichoptera; Odontoceridae. The record is from RNAcentral.
GGUUUUAUAUUCAAGUUAAAAUGAUUUUAAAUUGCAAAUUUAAAGGUAUAAAAGUAUUUAUUAAAGCUU